UCCUACGGGAGGCAGCAGUGGGGAAUAUUGGGCAAUGGGCGAAAGCCUGACCCAGCAACGCCGCGUGAAGGAAGAAGGCCUUCGGGUUGUAAACUUCUUUUACCAGGGACGAAGGACGUGACGGUACCUGGAGAAAAAGCAACGGCUAACUACGUGCCAGCAGCCGCGGUAAUACGUAGGUUGCAAGCGUUGUCCGGAUUUACUGGGUGUAAAGGGCGUGUAGGCGGAGAUGCAAGUUAGGAGUGAAAUCUAUGGGCUCAACCCAUAAACUGCUUCUAAAACUGUAUCCCUUGAGUAUCGGAGAGGCAAGCGGAAUUCCUAGUGUAGCGGUGAAAUGCGUAGAUAUUAGGAGGAACACCAGUGGCGAAGGCGGCUUGCUGGACGACAACUGACGCUGAGGCGCGAAAGCGUGGGGAGCAAACAGGAUUAGAUACCCUGGUAGUCCACGCUGUAAACGAUGAAUACUAGGUGUGGGAGGACUGACCCCUUCCGUGCCGCAGUUAACACAAUAAGUAUUCCACCUGGGGAGUACGACCGCAAGGUUGAAACUCAAAGGAAUUGACGGGGGCCCGCACAAGCAGUGGAUUAUGUGGUUUAAUUCGACGCAACGCGAAGAACCUUACCAGGACUUGACAUCCAACUAACGAAGUAGAGAUACAUUAGGUGCCCUUCGGGGAAAGUUGAGACAGGUGGUGCAUGGUUGUCGUCAGCUCGUGUCGUGAGAUGUUGGGUUAAGUCCCGCAACGAGCGCAACCCCUAUUGUUAGUUGCUACGAAAGAGCACUCUAGCGAGACUGCCGUUGACAAAACGGAGGAAGGCGGGGACGACGUCAAAUCAUCAUGCCCCUUAUGUCCUGGGCUACACACGUAAUACAAUGGUGGUAAACAGAGGGAAGCAAAGCCGCGAGGCAGAGCAAAUCCCUAAAAGCCAUCUCAGUUCGGAUUGCAGGCUGCAACUCGCCUGCAUGAAGCUGGAAUUGCUAGUAAUCGCGGAUCAGAAUGCCGCGGUGAAUACGUUCCCGGGCCUUGUACACACCGCCCGUCACACCAUGAGAGUCGGGAACACCCGAAGUCCGUAGUCUAACCGCAAGGAGGGCGCGGCCGAAGGUGGGUCCGGUAAUUGGGGUGAAGUCGUAACAAGGUAACCGUACUAGUACGAGAUCCGU
RNAcentral lists this ribosomal RNA (1165 nucleotides) under metagenome. Its description in RNAcentral is "bacterial SSU rRNA". It matches the Rfam family "Bacterial small subunit ribosomal RNA", at positions 337 to 1533 of the family's 1533-position model. The record is from RNAcentral.